RNAcentral lists this long non-coding RNA (1159 nucleotides) under Olea europaea (common olive). Its description in RNAcentral is "long non-coding RNA (OEUR_LNC011879)". The record is from RNAcentral. Lineage: Eukaryota; Viridiplantae; Streptophyta; Magnoliopsida; Lamiales; Oleaceae.
ACACACACACACACGUAUACAUACAUAUGUACACAUAAAUAUGUAUAAUAUGCAUGUAUGUAAUGGAAUCAAUGCAUAAUAGGUUCUCUUAGAAAACGAAGAAAGAAGAUUUUCAUGAUGGUGGGUUCAUAAUAAGUCCAGAGUUUUCUUUCCAUCUCUUAAUAUUAACUAUUCUUCGAGGAAUGGUGACCUUGUUCGUCUUUUCAUUAAUAUACAUCUCUUUGAAGGAAAUAUUUGUUCUCUCUCUCUCUCUCUGGGUUUUAUUUUUAUUUUUAUUUUUCAUGUUGGAUCCAAGAUUUAGGACAUGCUAAGAAUUUUUGUUCCUGUGACUGAGUUAACUUUUGGAAGAGCCAAAAUUGUAGAUUCACUUAUUGGACAGUUUGUAUAUCUGGAAUUUGAGUUGCAUGUUAAAUUUGAGGCUCUCGGGUGGAACACUGGUGUUUCCCUACCUAGCUACCUCCAAAGAUGGGUUAAGAUAUGUAGUUGUACACUUAUAAGUUUCCAUAGUUGAUAUAUAGAUGCUUGACAGGGAUUUUUAUUUUUUUAUAUUCUUGUACAGAUAAAUUCCAUGAAGUGAAAAGGAAACAUAAUAGGAGAAAAGAGGUAUGGCUACUUUAUUUACAAAAUUUUCCCAUUUCAUUAACUUCUAAGUUUUUGUAAAGUGUUAUAAUGUUUUUACUGUUAUUUUUGAAACUGAUGAAGGAUCAUUUACUUCUGAUUUUCUAUGAACAUGUUAAAUCAUUUAUGAUUUGAAAUGCCUAUGUUGUAUCUUACUAAAAAUUAUCCUGUGAUGAACUUUUAUUUCGAAGGACAAGAAAGAGAUGGUUAGAAAAGAUUUUAGUAAAGAGAGUAAUUUUGUCGGAAUGCAUCUAAUGACAUUUGUCAUGGUUUAACUAUCUAUAAUGUCACAUGCUCUAUUAAAUUUAAUUAAUUUUUUAUUUUACUAUUGAUACGAUCUCAAUACAUGUUAGAAGAUGGAGGGGUAGACUAACCUAUCAUGGCAUGUAAUGGUUGCCAAGGGAUCUAUUUCUUUGGAUCUUACAGUAAACAUAGCAAUAAACAGAAUUAAGAGGCAACAAAGGAUUCAUGUACCCUUUCCAGUUAUUGGCAAUAAUUCAAUAAUUCACGUUGUCUCAUCCAAUCUACCCACAUUUUUGUU